GUGGGGAAUCUUGCGCAAUGGGCGAAAGCCUGACGCAGCCAUGCCGCGUGAAUGAUGAAGGUCUUAGGAUUGUAAAAUUCUUUCACCGGGGACGAUAAUGACGGUACCCGGAGAAGAAGCUCCGGCUAACUUCGUGCCAGCAGCCGCGGUAAUACGAAGGGGGCUAGCGUUGCUCGGAAUUACUGGGCGUAAAGGGCGCGUAGGCGGAUAUUUAAGUCGGGGGUGAAAGCCCGGGGCUCAACCUCGGAAUAGCCUUCGAUACUGGAUAUCUUGAGUACGGGAGAGGUGUGUGGAACUCCGAGUGUAGAGGUGAAAUUCGUAGAUAUUCGGAAGAACACCAGUGGCGAAGGCGACACACUGGCCCGUUACUGACGCUGAGGCGCGAAAGCGUGGGGAGCAAACAGGAUUAGAAACCCGGGUAGUCC
Molecule: ribosomal RNA, 425 nt
Filed under: uncultured bacterium
Lineage: Bacteria
Description: partial 16S ribosomal RNA
Rfam family: Bacterial small subunit ribosomal RNA
Source: RNAcentral